CAUGCACUGGUGGGGUCCCUCAGCCUGACCUGCGCCCUCUCCCAAUCCAGGACCCCUCAGGGGAUGUCAGAGAGCCGGUUUCGGCCCAGUCACGCAGGCCAGGCUGAGGGACCCCACCGGUGCAUA
Non-coding RNA from Myotis brandtii (Brandt's bat), 126 nucleotides. Lineage: Eukaryota; Metazoa; Chordata; Mammalia; Chiroptera; Vespertilionidae. The record is from Rfam.